Long non-coding RNA from Ananas comosus (pineapple), 1470 nucleotides. RefSeq lists it as uncharacterized. The transcript is spliced from 2 exons. The record is from RefSeq and is a predicted model, not a curated record. Lineage: Eukaryota; Viridiplantae; Streptophyta; Magnoliopsida; Poales; Bromeliaceae.
GGGUUGGUGGCUCGCGUUGAGGGGCUCGGGGUUCCGCGCUCGUCCCCGGCGUUCUCACUGGUAUGGUGAAAAUUGGGUUUGGAUGGUAUCUGUUCUCUUCGGCUUUUGAAUUCGAGUUCUGCAUAGUAUGCAUGUUUCAGGGCAUGUUUUACUGUACUGUAGGGUGCACUAAUGUUGGAUGAAAUGUUGUUUGAGUAAUGUUUCUCUGUGCUAGGAGAAUUAUUUUUGAACUUGGGCUUGAAUACUAUCAGUGGUCAACGGGUUCUAGUACAAAUGAUGAGUUAUUGAUGAGAGGGCAUUCAAAUCGGCGAUAUGUAUCAUCAAACAUUAUUUAGACCGUUUGAAUUGCAUAUAAACCAAAUUUCAUGCCUUUUCUAUAUUAUUUACGUAAUGAUUGAUUCUUUGAUCUAUUUAACACUCUUGAUCACGGAAACAAGAUUAGUAUCCUGACCUUUUUAGGAAUAUUCAUUCGCAGCCAUAUAUUUUAAUGUAUGCUUAUGGACCCCAAAAAAAAAACUUGAAGCGUGAAAUUUGGUUUCUAAAUAGUUCGAAUAGUGUAGAUCAUGGUUGACAGUGCAAAUCAUCAAUUUUCUAUGAUGCACAGAUACGGAUAUGGGGAUGCGGAUAGGACACGAUACGGACACGGUGAUAUGGGAAUUCCUAAAACUUUUAGGAUACAAUAUGCGAGGCACUGUGGGUGCUCCACUUCGUAAGCAAGGCCAAGCUCAAGGGCAAGCUAGACUGCAUGAAGAGCUUUGGGUGGACGGAGGCUCAGUUUCUCGCAGCAUUCUAGAAGUCCCCAGUGAUUGUGACGCUGUCGGAAAAGACGAUGAGUGCCAAGAUGGAGUUCUUCGUCAAGGAGGCUGGAUUUGAACCUUCUCUCAUUGACCGCCAUCCUGACCUGCUGAAAUACAGCUUGGAUAACAGAAUCAUUCCUCGCCAUCGUGUCCUCUUGAUGCUUAUAUCUAGAAGUCUUUGUGACAGAGAGUAUAAACUCUCCACUGUUAUGGUGUCAUCGGAGAAGAAGUUUGCUAAGUAUUUCAUUGCUCGAUACAAGGAGGAAUUGCCAGAGUUGCAAGAGAUUUACACUGCCGAAUUUGGUAGGCAGCAUGCCAAAAAUUGUUCAUUCAGUCCUCAGAUAGAGGAGUGUUAAGGCUUCAAUCUCUCACUCUCUUUGCUUUGUUUCUUCCACGCAAUCAGUGAGAAGGUGGUGUGCGACUUCGGCAUUUCAAUACAGUUAUUAUAUAAGCAAGUCAACAUGGGCAUUUAUGGCCAAGUGAGAAGCUUGUACGAAUUACGAUGUAGUGUUAUUCUUUUCUAUUACAGCCUAAGAUUUUGUUGUUAAACUAACCCGAAGAAUGGUUUUAUUAUGUAGUUACAGACAUCCUUGUAAAUGCAUUAAUUAUAGCCAUCUUUUUGUAUUCUGUGUAAACUGUGGGAUAGAAUGAACAUGAUAUUGAUAAACUGGUC